ACACUCCUGCCCGAAGGGAACAAUAAAGCUUUCUCCAUUCAACAGCGCCAGAUACGCCAGAAGGCGGCCAUUUUGAGGCCGGCGCAGAACGGGUAUAAACGGGGAGGGGACGGCCCGGCCUGCCCCGCGCGCAACGGUCACGUGCUGGGGGGGCGGGUCCCCAGGGCGGGGCCUACGUCACGCACUCGCUGUCCACCAAUGCUAGGACUUUGGGAGAAUGUUCCCAGGUCGAUGCCUGUGGUGACUUCAGCUAAACUACCAGCUGUUUCCAGAGUGACUACUACAUGCCAAGAACACUGAGGUAAAUAGAAUAUGUUCCUUGCCCUACUAGGAAACAACACAGCCAGGACCAUUUCUGCUGCUAGUAAUAAGUCAUUACUUAUCUCACUCUUACUCUCUGCCAGGGACCAUGCCAAGCGCUACCUAGAUUAUCUCAUUUAUCCCUGUAACCACUGAAUGAGGUGGGUAACACUAUUACCUCCUUCUAUACAGGAGAAAAAAUAGUUUGCUUAAGGUCACACAGUUAUUAAUCAGUGGCACUGGAGUUGAACCUAGAAAGUCUGACUCUGGGGCCUUCACUUUUCUCCCCUAGAAUAAUGAUGGGCGGUUUUUACAGAAUAUAUGCAUUCAUUAUAAAGAAUUCAAAGAUUACAGAAAAAUACAAAGAAAAGAGUUAAAAAGAGAAACACUAUGAAUCCUACAGCUUAGUGGAAACGUAUCAUUAUAGAUGAGCAUUUCUCCAUCUCUGGGCAAAUAUACGUAGGUGAGUAGAUGGAGAGAUAAUAAUGGUAAUAACGACAGUUUCCCUUCAAUAAGCCCUAUGAGCGGGACAGUGUUCCAAGUCCUUUCCACGAAUUAACACAUUUAAUUUACUCAGAGAGAUGGAUAGACAUAAUUUUAUUAAAAUGAGCUCAUUUAACAUAUUCAGGGUUCAUAUCAGCAGCCAAACACUUGGUGAUGUUUUUCCCCAAAUCUGGUUCUGUCCUCAGUCUUUGUCUUCUUUCCACCUUCC
Molecule: long non-coding RNA, 1012 nt
Filed under: Sus scrofa (pig)
Lineage: Eukaryota; Metazoa; Chordata; Mammalia; Artiodactyla; Suidae
Description: lncRNA (ENSSSCG00005028459.1)
Source: RNAcentral